CCUACGGGCGGCAGCAGUAGGGAAUCUUCCACAAUGGGCGAAAGCCUGAUGGAGCAACGCCGCGUGGGUGAAGAAGGUCUUCGGAUCGUAAAACCCUGUUGUUAGAGAAGAAAGUGCGUGAGAGUAACUGUUCACGUUUCGACGGUAUCUAACCAGAAAGCAACGGCUAACUACGUGCCAGCAGCCGCGGUAAUACGUAGGUGGCAAGCGUUAUCCGGAUUUAUUGGGCGUAAAGGGAACGCAGGCGGUCUGUUAAGUCUGAUGUGAAAGCCGUCGGCUUAACCGGAGUAGUGCAUUGGAGACUGGGAGACGUGAGUGCAGAAGAGGAGAGUAGAACUCCAUGUGGAGCGGUGAAAUGCGUAGAUAUAUGGAAGAACACCAGUGGCGAAAGCGGCUCUCUGGUCUGUAACUGACGCUGAGGUUCGAAAGCGUGGGUAGCAAACAGGAUUAGAGACCCCAGUAGUC
RNAcentral lists this ribosomal RNA (465 nucleotides) under uncultured bacterium. RNAcentral's name for it is "partial 16S ribosomal RNA". It matches the Rfam family "Bacterial small subunit ribosomal RNA", at positions 338 to 795 of the family's 1533-position model. The record is from RNAcentral.